UACGAAGGGGGCUAGCGUUGCUCGGAUUUACUGGGCGUGAAGGGCGCGUAGGCGGACAGUUAAGUUGGGGGUGAAAGCCCGGGGCUCAACCUCGGAAUUGCCUUCAAUACUGGCUGUCUUGAGUGUGAGAGAGGUGUGUGGAACUCCGAGUGUAGAGGUGAAAUUCGUAGAUAUUCGGAAGAACACCAGUGGCGAAGGCGACACACUGGCUCACUGCUGACGCUGAGGCGCGAAAGCGUGGGGAGCAAACAGG
Molecule: ribosomal RNA, 253 nt
Filed under: uncultured bacterium
Lineage: Bacteria
Description: partial 16S ribosomal RNA
Rfam family: Bacterial small subunit ribosomal RNA
Source: RNAcentral